RNAcentral lists this long non-coding RNA (207 nucleotides) under Homo sapiens (human). Its description in RNAcentral is "LNC_000726". The record is from RNAcentral. Lineage: Eukaryota; Metazoa; Chordata; Mammalia; Primates; Hominidae.
GUGUUUUAGUAACUGUUGCAUUUCUGGUUUCCAUGUACUUAUUCUGCCUUUUUUUUGGCGAUUCCAGGGAGUUUUGCUUGGAUCUUUUCAACAAUUGACUUGGUCUGAUCUCGGGCGAUGCCAACAUAGUGAUCAAUCUGGGUCUUGUACUUCUCAUAGACAAUCGGGACACUGAAAAUGAGCAGUUCAGCAAGAAUUAGAAGGGUG